UAAUCUUAGCGGCGGACGGGUGAGUAACGCGUAGGCAACCUGCCUUGCACAGAGGGAUAACACCGGGAAACUGGUGCUAAUACCACAUGAUAUCAUAACAAGGCAUCUUGAAAUGAUCAAAGGAGAAAUCCGGUGCAAGAUGGGCCUGCGUCCGAUUAGUUAGUUGGUGAGGUAACGGCUCACCAAGGCGACGAUCGGUAGCCGAACUGAGAGGUUGAUCGGCCACAUUGGGACUGAGACACGGCCCAGACUCCUACGGGAGGCAGCAGUGGGGAAUAUUGCGCAAUGGGGGGAACCCUGACGCAGCAACGCCGCGUGAAGGAAGAAGGCCUUCGGGUUGUAAACUUUUUUGAUUGGGGAAGAAAAAAAUGACGGUACCCAAGGAACAAGCCACGGCUAACUACGUGCCAGCAGCCGCGGUAAUACGUAGGUGGCGAGCGUUGUCCGGAAUUACUGGGUGUAAAGGGCGUGUAGGCGGGAUUGUAAGUCAGAUGUGAAAUUCCAGGGCUUAACUCUGGAGGUGCAUCUGAAACUAUAAUUCUUGAGUGCUGGAGAGGAAAGCGGAAUUCCUAGUGUAGCGGUGAAAUGCGUAGAUAUUAGGAAGAACACCAGUGGCGAAGGCGGCUUUCUGGACAGUAACUGACGCUGAGGCGCGAAAGCGUGGGGAGCAAACAGGAUUAGAUACCCUGGUAGUCCACGCUGUAAACGAUGGAUACUAGGUGUAGGAGGUAUCGACCCCUUCUGUGCCGGAGUUAACACAAUAAGUAUCCCACCUGGGGGAGUACGGCCGCAAGGCUGAAACUCAAAGGAAUUGACGGGGGCCCGCACAAGCAGUGGAGUAUGUGGUUUAAUUCGAAGCAACGCGAAGAACCUUACCAGGGCUUGACCUCCCUCGGAUAACAUAGAGAUAUGUUAGUCCUUCGGGACCGAGGAGACAGUUGGUGCAUGGUUGUCGUCAGCUCGUGUCGUGAGAUGUUGGCUUAAGUCCCGCAACGAGCGCAACCCCUAUUGUUAGUUGCCAUCAUUAAGUUGGCCACUCUAACGAGACUGCCGGUGACAAAUCGCAGGAAGGUGGGGACGACGUCAAAUCAUCAUGCCCCUUAUGUCCUGGGCUACACACGUACUACAAUGGUCACUACAAAGGGAAGCAAUACCGCAGGGAGGAGCAAAUCCCCAAAGGUGACCUCAGUUCGGAUUGUGGGCUGAAACCCGCCCACAUGAAGUCGGAAUUGCUAGUAAUGGCAGGUCAG
This 1250-nucleotide ribosomal RNA is filed under the name uncultured organism. RNAcentral's name for it is "bacterial SSU rRNA". It matches the Rfam family "Bacterial small subunit ribosomal RNA", at positions 87 to 1352 of the family's 1533-position model. The record is from RNAcentral.